UCUGUGAGUAUACAGCUAGAGUGUCAGAAAGUACCACAGGGAUAACUGCUUGUGGCAGCCAGCGUCAUAGCGACGUUGCUUUUUGAUCUUCGAUGUCGGCUCUUCCUAUCAUUGAGACGCAGAAGUCUCAAAGUGUCGGAUUGUUCACCCGCCAAUAGGGAACGUGAGCUGGGUUUAGACCGUCGUGAGACAGGUUAGUUUUACCCUACUGACAAAGUAGAUACUGCGACAGUAGUCGAAGUUAGUACGAGAGGAACACUUCGUCCAGAUACUUGGUUAAUGCCGUUGUCUGAAAAGACAGUACGGCGAAGCUACCAUCUGCUGGAUUACGGCUGAACGCCUCUAAGCCGGAAUCCAUGCUGGAUAAGCAGUGUUGUACACCGUGCUCAAUGCUACAAGAAAAAGGCUAGGUCAGGCUUCGGCCUGACCAAAAUUCAAGCUGCUAUACCUCUGGCUGCAUUGACUUGUGGUCAGAGUGUAUGGUGAUCAUAGCAAUUGCAAGUAUUGGGCUCGAUAAAUCCUUUGAAGACGACUUAAUUGCAUCCGGGUAUUGUAAGUGUUGAGAGUAGGCUUAGUCUUACGAUCCACUGAGAUUCAUCCCGUGUUGCGCCGAUUUGU
This 618-nucleotide non-coding RNA is filed under the name Perkinsus marinus ATCC 50983. RNAcentral describes it as "Eukaryotic large subunit ribosomal RNA". It matches the Rfam family "Eukaryotic large subunit ribosomal RNA", at positions 2781 to 3401 of the family's 3401-position model. The record is from Rfam by way of RNAcentral. Lineage: Eukaryota; Perkinsozoa; Perkinsida; Perkinsidae.